AUUGAACGCUGGCGGCAGGCCUAACACCUGCAAGGCGGACGAGUGGCGGACGGGUUAGUAAUGUCUGUGAAACUUCCUGAUGGUGGGGGAUAACUACUGGAAACGGUAGCUAAUACCGCCUACCAUCGGAUGUGCCCCGAUGGGAUUAGCUAGUAGGUGGGGUAAAGGCUCACCUAGGCGACGAUCCCUAGCGGGGCUGAGAGGAUGACCAGCCACACUGGAACUGAGACACGGGCCAGACUCCUACGUGAGGCAGCAGUGGGGAAUAUUGGACAAUGGGCGCAAGCCUGAUGCAGCCACGCCGCGUGUAUGAAGAAGGCCUUCGGGUGGUAAAGUACUUUCAGCGGGGAGGCGUUACCCGCAGAAGAAGCACCGGCUAACUCCGUGCCAGCAGCCGCGGUAAUAC
Molecule: ribosomal RNA, 406 nt
Filed under: uncultured bacterium
Lineage: Bacteria
Description: partial 16S ribosomal RNA
Rfam family: Bacterial small subunit ribosomal RNA
Source: RNAcentral